AUGAAGUUCGAUGAGGAUAAUCUAUUUAAAGUAGCUCCUAACAUAGUAAAGUUCUUGAUUAAUAAAGAUCAGCCUAACUCUAAGCAAUAUCUAAAGGGUUGCCUACCAAGUAGCUUACCUAUGCUUAAGAUGUUUGGUAUCUAUACGCUUGAGGCUAUCAUGAUUCAUGUACUAGGCUUGGUAUCCAACACUCUUCAGGAAUCAUCCGUAGUUAAGGCAGCUAGAUUUAUAGAUCAACUUAAUUCAACUGUACAAGAACAAGAAAGGUUUAUACAAUACAAAGCACCAGGUAGCGGUAAGGUGGAAGCAGUACUCACUAGUAAGGUAGAAUCAGUUAAGGAUGUUGUUCAGCCCAAAGGUGCUAGCAAAAAAGAGAAAAAGAAAAAAUGCAGUGUCAUUAUGAUACCGGGAAAUACUUGCUCCAAUUCAUGA
This 432-nucleotide ribosomal RNA is filed under the name Triticum aestivum (bread wheat). Its description in RNAcentral is "partial small subunit ribosomal RNA". Lineage: Eukaryota; Viridiplantae; Streptophyta; Magnoliopsida; Poales; Poaceae. The record is from RNAcentral.